RNAcentral lists this transfer RNA (360 nucleotides) under uncultured Microcystis sp. RNAcentral describes it as "partial 16S-23S ribosomal RNA intergenic spacer". The stretch from base 136 to 209 matches the Rfam family "tRNA". The record is from RNAcentral. Lineage: Bacteria; Bacillati; Cyanobacteriota; Cyanophyceae; Chroococcales; Microcystaceae.
AAAGGGAGACCUAAUUCAGGUAGGAGACGAAAAAAAAGUAGUCCCUACCAAGAAUCAAUCCCAAAAGGUCGGAGCGAGGCGAAAUUGGCUUUCAAACUAGGUUCUGGGUUCAAACAAGACCUGAAUCAGGAACAAGGGCAAUUAGCUCAGGUGGUUAGAGCGCACCCCUGAUAAGGGUGAGGUCCCUGGUUCGAGUCCAGGAUGGCCCACCUGCACAGGUGGCAAAAACAAAGAAGCUCCGAAUCAGCACCUUAUCUUACUUAUAUAAUAAGAGAGAAUGCUGGCUCUGAGUUCAGAGUCCAGAGGAACCUUGAAAACUGCAUAGAGCUAGGUGAAAAAGCCAAAAAAGAAGACCGCAAG